AGCCAAAAGAAGUCCAAUCACUGGCAGCUUGGUGAUGCUAUUUGGGAUGAGUCAGUGUGAAUCUUCCCUGAGAGGAUGAGCUGGACCAGCUGGGGUGUAUUCUCAGGCAGAGGAAGGAUGAAGGAGGUACUUUGUUUUAAAAGGGAGACUUACAUCAUGAAGUCAACACAGAAAAAGGUGACCAGAAUACUGAGAAAUUCCCAGAGCAUUUGUAUUUGGAAAGGCUAAGAGUGGCUAAGCUGAGUGGUCAUACCAGGAAGAGAACCAGAACCCUGGGGCCCAUCAUCCCCAGCCUUUCUCAUGGCCACCAAAGCUCUAGCAAAAGGAUCGGAAGCCAAGGACUCCUGGGAGAGCAAAGGACCCUCACCCUCAGCCCCUCCCAUUUCUGUGCUUUCAAAUCCUGUUUGUGGCAUUUCCCCAGUGGCUGACCCCCAUGUGAUUGAUAAUGACAAAAAAAGACUUUUUAUAAGAUAUAAAGUCCAUGUAAUUUCAACCUGGGUCUCACUGCUGGCAGUGGAUUUAGGUGGACAUUUCCAGUCAGUUUUGUCACCUGUGAGCUGGAAAAUUACAGCGUGGGUUUAGGUCAUUGGUGUUGGGUCAAAAUCCUCUUUGAAAUCUUUUGCAUGUGAAACCUGGUCUGUUUUGCUUGGACUGUGUGAUCUUUCUUCAACUUGCUUUGGCUGAUGAUAAAUAAUGCAGUGUUUUAGAGCAAAGGAAACUAAAAAAUAAAUAUUUUUU
This is a non-coding RNA of Sus scrofa (pig), 738 nucleotides long. The record is from RefSeq and is a predicted model, not a curated record. Lineage: Eukaryota; Metazoa; Chordata; Mammalia; Artiodactyla; Suidae.